AGGACGAACGCUGGCGGCGUGCUUAACACAUGCAAGUCGAACGAGGCGCUUGCGCCUAGUGGCGAACGGGUGAGUAACACGUGAGCAACCUGCCCUUGGCUCUGGGAUAGCCUCCGGAAACGGGGAUUAAUACCGGACAUGACCUUCUCCUGCAUGGGGGAGGGUGGAAAGUUUUUCGGCCAGGGAGGGGCUCGCGGCCUAUCAGCUUGUUGGGGGGGUAACGGCCCACCAAGGCGACGAAGGGUAGCC
Molecule: ribosomal RNA, 249 nt
Filed under: uncultured bacterium
Lineage: Bacteria
Description: partial small subunit ribosomal RNA
Rfam family: Bacterial small subunit ribosomal RNA
Source: RNAcentral